This is a small nuclear RNA of Nannospalax galili (Upper Galilee mountains blind mole rat), 105 nucleotides long. The record is from Ensembl. Lineage: Eukaryota; Metazoa; Chordata; Mammalia; Rodentia; Spalacidae.
GUGCUCACUUUGAAGCACAGACAAUAAAACUGGAUGAUGUAGAGAAGAUUAGCAUGGUCCCUGCGCAAGGAUGACAUGCAAAUCCAUGAAGCUUUCCAUAUUUGG